Unclassified non-coding RNA from Macaca fascicularis (crab-eating macaque), 148 nucleotides. It matches the Rfam family "Metazoan signal recognition particle RNA". Rfam says of the family: The signal recognition particle (SRP) is a universally conserved ribonucleoprotein. It is involved in the co-translational targeting of proteins to membranes. The eukaryotic SRP consists of a 300-nucleotide 7S RNA and six proteins: SRPs 72, 68, 54, 19, 14, and 9. The record is from Ensembl. NCBI's taxonomy places the organism in Eukaryota, Metazoa, Chordata, Mammalia, Primates, Cercopithecidae.
GCCGGGCAUGGUAGCACACGCCUGUAAUCCCAGUUACUUUGGAGGCUGAGACAGGAGAAUUGCUUGAACCCGGGAGGCGGAGGUUGCAGUGAGCCGAGAUGGCACCACUGCACUCUAGCCCGGGUGACAGAGCGAGACUCUGUCUCAA